GCGACAGGCUUAACACAUGCAAGUCGAGGGGCAGCACAGGUAGCAAUACCGGGUGGCGACCGGCGCACGGGUGAGUAACGCGUAUGCAACUUACCUAUCAGAGGGGGAUAACCCGGCGAAAGUCGGACUAAUACCGCAUGAAGCAGGGGCCCCGCAUGGGGAUAUUUGCUAAAGAUUCAUCGCUGAUAGAUAGGCAUGCGUUCCAUUAGGCAGUUGGCGGGGUAACGGCCCACCAAACCGACGAUGGAUAGGGGUUCUGAGAGGAAGGUCCCCCACAUUGGUACUGAGACACGGACCAAACUCCUACGGGAGGCAGCAGUGAGGAAUAUUGGUCAAUGGCCGAGAGGCUGAACCAGCCAAGUCGCGUGAGGGAUGAAGGUUCUAUGGAUCGUAAACCUCUUUUAUAAGGGAAUAAAGUGCGGGACGUGUCCCGUUUUGUAUGUACCUUAUGAAUAAGGAUCGGCUAACUCCGUGCCAGCAGCCGCGGUAAUACGGAGGAUCCGAGCGUUAUCCGGAUUUAUUGGGUUUAAAGGGUGCGUAGGCGGCCUUUUAAGUCAGCGGUGAAAGUCUGUGGCUCAACCAUAGAAUUGCCGUUGAAACUGGGGGGCUUGAGUAUGUUUGAGGCAGGCGGAAUGCGUGGUGUAGCGGUGAAAUGCAUAGAUAUCACGCAGAACCCCGAUUGCGAAGGCAGCCUGCCAAGCCAUGACUGACGCUGAUGCACGAAAGCGUGGGGAUCAAACAGGAUUAGAUACCCUGGUAGUCCACGCAGUAAACGAUGAUCACUAGCUGUUUGCGAUACACUGUAAGCGGCACAGCGAAAGCGUUAAGUGAUCCACCUGGGGAGUACGCCGGCAACGGUGAAACUCAAAGGAAUUGACGGGGGCCCGCACAAGCGGAGGAACAUGUGGUUUAAUUCGAUGAUACGCGAGGAACCUUACCCGGGUUUGAACGCAUUCGGACCGAGGUGGAAACACCUUUUCUAGCAAUAGCCGUUUGCGAGGUGCUGCAUGGUUGUCGUCAGCUCGUGCCGUGAGGUGUCGGCUUAAGUGCCAUAACGAGCGCAACCCUUGCCACUAGUUACUAACAGGUAAAGCUGAGGACUCUGGUGGGACUGCCAGCGUAAGCUGCGAGGAAGGCGGGGAUGACGUCAAAUCAGCACGGCCCUUACAUCCGGGGCGACACACGUGUUACAAUGGCGUGGACAAAGGGAGGCCACCUGGUGACAGGAAGCGAAUCCCCAAACCACGUCUCAGUUCGGAUCGGAGUCUGCAACCCGACUCCGUGAAGCUGGAUUCGCUAGUAAUCGCGCAUCAGCCAUGGCGCGGUGAAUACGUUCCCGGGCCUUGUACACACCGCCCGUCAAGCCAUGGGAGCCGGGGGUACCUGAAGUCCGUAACCGAAAGGAUCGGCCUAGGGUAAAACUGGUGACUGGGGCUAAGUAA
This 1442-nucleotide ribosomal RNA is filed under the name uncultured organism. RNAcentral's name for it is "SSU rRNA". It matches the Rfam family "Bacterial small subunit ribosomal RNA". The record is from RNAcentral.